CAGUAGCCGCGGGAAUACGGAGGGUGCAAGCGUUAUCCGGAUUUAUUGGGUUUAAAGGGUCCGUAGGCGGAUCUGUAAGUCAGUGGUGAAAUCUCACAGCUUAACUGUGAAACUGCCAUUGAUACUGCAGGUCUUGAGUAAAUUUGAAGUGGCUGGAAUAAGUAGUGUAGCGGUGAAAUGCAUAGAUAUUAUUUAGAACACCAAUUGCGAAGGCAGGUCACUAAGAUUUAACUGACGCUGAUGGACGAAAGCGUGGGGAGCGAACAGGAUUAGAUACCCCCGUAGUCCCUGUCUCUUAUAC
This 301-nucleotide ribosomal RNA is filed under the name uncultured bacterium. Its description in RNAcentral is "partial 16S ribosomal RNA". It matches the Rfam family "Bacterial small subunit ribosomal RNA", at positions 509 to 807 of the family's 1533-position model. The record is from RNAcentral.